Molecule: non-coding RNA, 21 nt
Filed under: Caenorhabditis elegans
Lineage: Eukaryota; Metazoa; Nematoda; Chromadorea; Rhabditida; Rhabditidae
Source: RNAcentral
UGGUUUUUUUUUUUCGUUUUC